Molecule: ribosomal RNA, 331 nt
Filed under: uncultured eukaryote
Lineage: Eukaryota
Description: partial 18S ribosomal RNA
Rfam family: Eukaryotic small subunit ribosomal RNA
Source: RNAcentral
CCCUUAGAUGUUCUGGGCCGCACGCGCGCUACACUGACGAAGUCAGCGAGCAUGUCCUACGCCGACAGGUGCGGGGAAUCUUGUCAAACUUCGUCGUGAUGGGGAUUGAUUUUUGAAAUUCUUGAUCAUAAACGAGGGAUUCCUAGUAAGCGCAAGUCAGCAGCUUGCGUUGAUUACGUCCCUGCCCUUUGUACACACCGCCCGUCGCUACUACCGAUUGAAUGGUUUAGUGAGAUCUUCGGAUUGGCGCCACUGCAGCUCAGCAAUGGGCUUGGUGGAUGCCGAAAAGUUGAUCAAACUUGAUCAUUUAGAGGAAGUAAAAGUCGUAACA